AAACCGUUGAAAGGGAAGCGAAUGGAGUUAGCAAUUCGCCUCGCCAGAUUCAGUUUCUCGCCUCCCGAGACGCGCGUCAUCUCGAUCUCUAUAGACGAGUGGCGUGCGGACGCGGGACGUGAGAGGCGCACUUCUGGCGGGCGAGCGUCAACGUCGGUUUCGGCCGAGCUACAAGGUCGAGGGGAAGGUGGAUCGAUCUUCGGAUCGAUUGUUAAGCCCCUCGAACGCACGGCUCGUCCGAGACCGAGGCAUACUUGGCGACGCGUGCCUCCCUCUCGCGGGGGUUGGCGGGUGUCCCGUUUCGUUUGUUCGGCUGUCGACCGUGGCGGACGGCACGCCUGUGCGCUCGAACCGCUGCCGUUCAACGAAUCGGUGAUCACACUAGACGCGUCUACGACGUUGACGACCAUACGGCUCUAUCCGACCCGUCUUGAAACACGGACCAAGGAGUCUAACAUGUGCGCGAGUCUCCGGGUGAUCGAAACCCGUGGGCGAAAUGAAAGUAAAGGCAGCCUAGGCUGCUGAGGUGAGAAGCGUCGCCGUAUAGGCGGCGCCGCAUCAUCGACCGACCUAUUCUACUCCUAGAACGGUUUGAGUAAGAGCGUAUCUGUUGGGACCCGAAAGAUGGUGAACUAUGCCUGAAUAGGGUGAAGCCAGCGGAAACACUGGUGGAAGCUCGUAGCGAUUCUGACGUGCAAAUCGAUCGUCGAAUUUGGGUAUAGCGGCGAAAGACUAAUCGAACCAUCUAGUAGCUGGUUCCCUCCGAAGUUUCCCUUAGGAUAGCUGGAGCUCGGAUGCAGUUUU
RNAcentral lists this ribosomal RNA (804 nucleotides) under Ptilella grayi. Its description in RNAcentral is "partial large subunit ribosomal RNA". It matches the Rfam family "Eukaryotic large subunit ribosomal RNA", at positions 402 to 1002 of the family's 3401-position model. Lineage: Eukaryota; Metazoa; Cnidaria; Anthozoa; Scleralcyonacea; Pennatulidae. The record is from RNAcentral.